UCCUACGGGAGGCAGCAGUAGGGAAUCUUCCGCAAUGGACGAAAGUCUGACGGAGCAGCGCCGCGUGAGUGAUGAAGGCUUUCGGGUCGUAAAAUUCUGUUGUUAGGGAAGAACAAGUGCUAGUUGAAUAAGCUGGCACCUUGACGGUACCUAACCAGAAAGCCACGGCUAACUACGUGCCAGCAGCCGCGGU
This 193-nucleotide ribosomal RNA is filed under the name uncultured bacterium. RNAcentral describes it as "partial 16S ribosomal RNA". It matches the Rfam family "Bacterial small subunit ribosomal RNA", at positions 337 to 521 of the family's 1533-position model. The record is from RNAcentral.